This 183-nucleotide ribosomal RNA is filed under the name uncultured bacterium. RNAcentral describes it as "partial 16S ribosomal RNA". It matches the Rfam family "Bacterial small subunit ribosomal RNA", at positions 1318 to 1500 of the family's 1533-position model. The record is from RNAcentral.
GCACGAAGCCGGAAUCGCUAGUAAUCGCAGAUCAGCAUGCUGCGGUGAAUACGUUCCCGGGUCUUGUACACACCGCCCGUCACACCAUGGGAGUCGGAAAUGCCCGAAGUCAGUGGCCCAACCGCAAGGAGGGAGCUGCCGAAGGCAGGUCCGGUGACUGGGGUGAAGUCGUAACAAGGUAGC